GACGAACGCUGGCGGCGUGCUUAACACAUGCAAGUCGAACGGAAAGGCCCUGCUUUUGUGGGGUGCUCGAGUGGCAAACGGGUGUGUAACACGUGAGUCACCUGCCCUUGACUUUGGGAUAACUUCAGGAAACUGGGGCUAAUACCGGAUAGGAGCUCCUGCUGCAUGGUGGGGGUUGGAAAGUUUCGGCGGUUGGGGAUGGACUCGCGGCUUAUCAGCUUGUUGGUGGGGUAGUGGCUUACCAAGGCUUGGACGGGUAGCCGGCCUGAGAGGGUGACCGGCCACAUUGGGACUGAGAUACGGCCCAGACUCCUACGGGAGGCAGCAGUGGGGAAUAUUGCACAAUGGGCGGAAGCCUGAUGCAGCAACGCCGCGUGCGGGAUGACGGCCUUCGGGUUGUAAACCGCUUUCGCCUGUGACGAAGCGUGAGUGACGGUAAUGGGUAAAGAAGCACCGGCUAACUACGUG
Molecule: ribosomal RNA, 468 nt
Filed under: uncultured bacterium
Lineage: Bacteria
Description: partial 16S ribosomal RNA
Rfam family: Bacterial small subunit ribosomal RNA
Source: RNAcentral